UGAUGCGGCGGCCCAGCCGCUCUGUUUCCCUGCACAGACUGAUCUCUGCGAUGCGAAGGUAACGCUCCGAUG
This 72-nucleotide small nucleolar RNA is filed under the name Euglena gracilis. RNAcentral's name for it is "Eg-m74.2". The record is from RNAcentral. Lineage: Eukaryota; Euglenozoa; Euglenophyceae; Euglenales; Euglenaceae.